Pseudoruegeria sp. SK021 is the source of this 81-nucleotide transfer RNA. It matches the Rfam family "tRNA". Rfam says of the family: Transfer RNA (tRNA) molecules are approximately 80 nucleotides in length. Their secondary structure includes four short double-helical elements and three loops (D, anti-codon, and T loops). Further hydrogen bonds mediate the characteristic L-shaped molecular structure. tRNAs have two regions of fundamental functional importance: the anti-codon, which is responsible for specific mRNA codon recognition, and the 3' end, to which the tRNAs corresponding amino acid is attached (by aminoacyl-tRNA synthetases). tRNAs cope with the degeneracy of the genetic code in two manners: having more than one tRNA (with a specific anti-codon) for a particular amino acid; and 'wobble' base-pairing, i.e. permitting non-standard base-pairing at the 3rd anti-codon position. The record is from Rfam. Lineage: Bacteria; Pseudomonadati; Pseudomonadota; Alphaproteobacteria; Rhodobacterales; Roseobacteraceae.
GCCCGAGUGGCGGAAUGGUAGACGCAGGGGAUUCAAAAUCCCCCGCCGCAAGGCGUGCCGGUUCGAGUCCGGCCUCGGGUA